AGAUUCACUUUGUUCUGUUUUGUUUGAAGUUUUAUGAGAAAAAAGGGAAGUUGUAAACUGUGGAUUUUAUUUUACAAGUUAAUGGACUUUUAUUUUGAAAGAUGCGUCUUUUCCUGCUCACGCUGUCCAUGUGACUGGCAACUUCCAAUCAGGUUGUUGUUGAGCUGAGAGCUCCGGUGCCAGAGCGUAGCCUUCAUUGCAAGCUUCGCAGCCUGAGGGAGAAGACGAGGAACGCAGUUUAUUAAAGUUUGAAACCUAUUUAUUUCAUUUUUACCUGGUGGUGAAGUUAUUUUUGGUUUUUCCACCUGUGAGGCCUGAAAAACAUUUUUUUCUUUACCAAACGGGACUUGGCCAUUAAGAUUGGGCCGAAAAAACUGACUCGUGUCGGAUCCAUGUGCGUGAAGAGAACAAGAUGGCGAGCCAACCCUGAACCUCUUGAAGUAGCAAAGGACCAAGCGCCCUCUGCUGGACACUUGACAACUCUUUUCAUCCUGUGGAACUGGUAGGAACUUUCCUCAUUCCCCUGCAAACCGCAGAGCAUUCUGGACAAUCGAACUCGAACUUACGAACACUCCUGAGCCGAAGUUGCGAGGAAAGAGAUACAAGUUUGUCUUUGGGUUUUAUUCAGUCUUUUGCUGAAUCACUUUGAGUUAUAUGUAUUUCAUUUUAUUUUUUAUUUCCAUUCACAGAAAUACUGUAAAGUAUUAUUGUGCAAAUUGAGUUGUUGUUUUGUUGGUCAAAGCAAUGAAAAAAAACCCUGAAAUUAAGGAGACUUAAAUUAAUUUAGAAUGGGAUAAAAUAAUUUAACUUAGAAUUAGAACAAAACUAGAACUUGAUACGUGAACUUGAAUCAACUAGAACUAAACUUUGAACAACUAGAACUGAAACUAAAAGAAAAAACAAAAUAGAUCUCAAUCCUAACUUAAAGGUUGAACAAAAUUGAACUUAAGAGCUAACCUAGGUUAAAUAAAAAAUAUCCUUUUAAUCUAAAUCAUAAGAUUAAAAACAAAACUGGGAUUUCUUUGUUUAAUGUUAUGUGUCUUUGUAUUGUUUAUGUAUGUCUAAUUAAAUAAGCCGGCUAAUCUUAA
Molecule: long non-coding RNA, 1088 nt
Organism: Oryzias melastigma (Indian medaka)
Lineage: Eukaryota; Metazoa; Chordata; Actinopteri; Beloniformes; Adrianichthyidae
Exons: 2
Source: RefSeq, a predicted model, not a curated record